Varanus komodoensis (Komodo dragon) is the source of this 64-nucleotide small nucleolar RNA. Its record names the gene SNORD63. It matches the Rfam family "Small nucleolar RNA SNORD63". From Rfam's summary of the family: snoRNA U63 is found in both humans and mice. U63 is a member of the C/D class of snoRNA which contain C (UGAUGA) and D (CUGA) box motifs. NCBI's taxonomy places the organism in Eukaryota, Metazoa, Chordata, Lepidosauria, Squamata, Varanidae. The record is from Ensembl.
GUGCAAGGAUGCAGUCAUCAACACAUCACUCUGAAAACAUGUGAAAGAUUUCUGUCUGAGCACA